RNAcentral lists this transfer RNA (76 nucleotides) under Coriobacteriaceae bacterium. RNAcentral describes it as "tRNA-Ile". It matches the Rfam family "tRNA". Rfam says of the family: Transfer RNA (tRNA) molecules are approximately 80 nucleotides in length. Their secondary structure includes four short double-helical elements and three loops (D, anti-codon, and T loops). Further hydrogen bonds mediate the characteristic L-shaped molecular structure. tRNAs have two regions of fundamental functional importance: the anti-codon, which is responsible for specific mRNA codon recognition, and the 3' end, to which the tRNAs corresponding amino acid is attached (by aminoacyl-tRNA synthetases). tRNAs cope with the degeneracy of the genetic code in two manners: having more than one tRNA (with a specific anti-codon) for a particular amino acid; and 'wobble' base-pairing, i.e. permitting non-standard base-pairing at the 3rd anti-codon position. The record is from RNAcentral. Lineage: Bacteria; Bacillati; Actinomycetota; Coriobacteriia; Coriobacteriales; Coriobacteriaceae.
GGGCUCGUGGCGCAACGGUUAGCGCAGGGGACUCAUAAUCCCUGGGUUCCGAGUUCGAAUCUCGGCGGGCCCACCA